CCUACGGGAGGCAGCAGUGGGGAAUAUUGCACAAUGGGGGAAACCCUGAUGCAGCGACGCCGCGUGGGUGACGAAGUAUUUCGGUAUGUAAAGCCCUAUCAGCAGGGAAGAAGAUGACAGUACCUGACCAAGAAGCCCCGGCUAACUACGUGCCAGCAGCCGCGGUAAUACGUAGGGGGCAAGCGUUAUCCGGAUUUACUGGGUGUAACGGGAGCGUAGGUGGCAUGGCAAGCCAGAAGUGAAAACCCGGGGCUUAACCCCGCGGAUUGCUUUUGGAACUGUCAGGCUGGAGUGCAGGAGGGGCAGGCGGAAUUCCUGGUGUAGCGGUGAAAUGCGUAGAUAUCAGGAGGAACACCGGUGGCGAAGGCGGCCUGCUGGACUGUAACUGACACUGAGGCUCGAAAGCGUGGGGAGCAAACAGGAUUAGAUACCCUUGUAGUC
This 441-nucleotide ribosomal RNA is filed under the name uncultured bacterium. Its description in RNAcentral is "partial 16S ribosomal RNA". It matches the Rfam family "Bacterial small subunit ribosomal RNA", at positions 338 to 795 of the family's 1533-position model. The record is from RNAcentral.